RNAcentral lists this ribosomal RNA (1162 nucleotides) under human gut metagenome. Its description in RNAcentral is "bacterial LSU rRNA". It matches the Rfam family "Bacterial large subunit ribosomal RNA", at positions 732 to 1983 of the family's 2925-position model. The record is from RNAcentral.
ACCCAUGUCCAGGUUGAAGUGGAGGUAAAACUCCAUGGAGGACCGAACCGACUCCCGUUGAAAUGGUAGCGGAUGAGGUGUGGGUAGCGGAGAAAUUCCAAUCGAACCCGGAGAUAGCUGGUUCUCUCCGAAAUAGCUUUAGGGCUAGCCUUGUAUUAGAUUACUGGAGGUAAAGCACUGAAUAGGCUAGGGGCCGAGAGGUUACCGAACCUUAUCAAACUCAGAAUGCCAGAUAAUUGAUGUACAGGAGUCAGACAGUGUGAGAUAAGUUUCAUUGUCGAAAGGGAAAGAGCCCAGACCCACAGCUAAGGUCCCAAAAUAUAGUUAAGUGGAAAAGGAUGUGGGAUUGCACAGACAACCAGGAUGUUGGCUCAGAAGCAGCCAUUCAUUAAAAGAGUGCGUAAUAGCUCACUGGUCGAGUGCCCCUGCGCCGAAGAUUUAACGGGGCUAAACUAUAUACCGAAGCUUGGGAUGCAUUUAUGCAUGGUAGGAGAGCGUUGUAUGCGGGGUGAAGUCAGAGCGAAAGCGCUGGUGGACUGCAUACAAGUGAGAAUGCCGGAAUGAGUAGCGAGAAAUAUGUGAGAAUCAUAUUGGCCGAAAGUCUAAGGUUUUAGGAGGAAGGUUCGUCCGCUCCUAGUACGCCGGGAGCUAAGGUGAGGCCGAAAGGCGUAGCCGAUGCACAUACGGUAGAAAUUCCGUAGCCACCGAAAGAUUUAAGCAAGAGGACACCCAGAAAGAGCAUAACCCGGGCGUUGGUUGACCCGGGCGUAAGGGACUGAAAUUAGAGUAGGGAAGUAUGCGUGGACUGGGGCGAGAAAAGUCUUGUGUAUAUUUAAGGUGCCCGUACCGCAAACCGACACAGGUAGAUAGGAAGAGAAUUCUAAGGCCAACGGGAGAAGGGUAGUUAAGGAACUCGGCAAAUUGACCCCGUAACUUAGGGAAAAGGGGUGCCACAGCAAUGUGGCCGCAGAGAAUAGGCCCAGGCGACUGUUUAGCAAAAACACAGGUUUCUGCCAAAUCGAAAGAUGAAGUAUAGGAGCUGACACCUGCCCGGUGCUGGAAGGUUAAGAGGAGAGGUGCAAGCCUUGAAUUGAAGCCCCAGUAAACGGCGGCCGUAACUAUAACGGUCCUAAGGUAGCGAAAUUCCUUGUCGGGUAAGUUC